Molecule: ribosomal RNA, 730 nt
Filed under: uncultured bacterium
Lineage: Bacteria
Description: bacterial SSU rRNA
Rfam family: Bacterial small subunit ribosomal RNA
Source: RNAcentral
AACAGGAUUAGAUACCCUGGUAGUCCACGCCGUAAACGAUGUCGACUUGGAGGUUGUGCCCUUGAGGCGUGGCUUCCGGAGCUAACGCGUUAAGUCGACCGCCUGGGGAGUACGGCCGCAAGGUUAAAACUCAAAUGAAUUGACGGGGGCCCGCACAAGCGGUGGAGCAUGUGGUUUAAUUCGAUGCAACGCGAAGAACCUUACCUGGUCUUGACAUCCACGGAAGUUUUCAGAGAUGAGAAUAUGCCUUCGGGAACCGUGAGACAGGUGCUGCAUGGCUGUCGUCAGCUCGUGUUGUGAAAUGUUGGGUUAAGUCCCGCAACGAGCGCAACCCUUAUCCUUUGUUGCCAGCGGUCCGGCCGGGAACUCAAAGGAGACUGCCAGUGAUAAACUGGAGGAAGGUGGGGAUGACGUCAAGUCAUCAUGGCCCUUACGACCAGGGCUACACACGUGCUACAAUGGCGCAUACAAAGAGAAGCGACCUCGCGAGAGCAAGCGGACCUCAUAAAGUGCGUCGUAGUCCGGAUUGGAGUCUGCAACUCGACUCCAUGAAGUCGGAAUCGCUAGUAAUCGUGGAUCAGAAUGCCACGGCGAAUACGUUCCCGGGCCUUGUACACACCGCCCGUCACACCAUGGGAGUGGGUUGCAAAAGAAGUAGGUAGCUUAACCUUCGGGAGGGCGCUUACCACUUUGUGAUUCAUGACUAGGGUGAAGUCGUAACAAGGUAACC